CCUACGGGGUGCUGCAGUGGGGGAUAUUGCACAAUGGGGGGAACCCUGAUGCAGCGACGCCGCGUGGGUGAAGAAGCGCCUCGGCGCGUAAAGCCCUAUCAGCAGGGAAGAACAAUGACGGUACCUGACUAAGAAGCACCGGCUAAAUACGUGCCAGCAGCCGCGGUAAUACGUAUGGUGCAAGCGUUAUCCGGAUUUACUGGGUGUAAAGGGAGCGCAGGCGGCGCGUUAAGCCUGGUGUGAAAGCCCGCGGCCCAACCGCGGGACUGCAUUGGGAACUGGCGCGCUGGAGUGCCGGAGGGGUAGGCGGAAUUCCUAGUGUAGCGGUGAAAUGCGUAGAUAUUAGGAGGAACACCAGUGGCGAAGGCGGCCUACUGGACGGUGACUGACGCUGAGGCUCGAAAGCGUGGGGAGCAAACAGGAGUAGAUACCCGGGUAGUC
This 441-nucleotide ribosomal RNA is filed under the name uncultured bacterium. RNAcentral's name for it is "partial 16S ribosomal RNA". It matches the Rfam family "Bacterial small subunit ribosomal RNA", at positions 338 to 795 of the family's 1533-position model. The record is from RNAcentral.